GGUGCAGCAGGCGCGAAAACUCCGCAAUGCACGAAAGUGUGACGGGGCUACCCCGAGUGCCAUCCGCUGAGGAUGGCUUUUCCUUGGUGUAACUAGCCAGGGGAAUAAGGAGAGGGCAAGACUGGUGUCAGCCGCCGCGGUAAUACCAGCUCUCCGAGUGGUAGGGAUGAUUAUUGGGCUUAAAGCGUCCGUAGCCGGCUUAGCAAGUCUCCUGUUAAAUUCAGCGACCUAAUCGUUGAGCCGCGGGAGAUACUACUAGGCUAGGAGGCGGGAGAGGUCGACGGUACUUUUGGGGUAGGGGUGAAAUCCUAUAAUCCCAGGAGGACCACCAGUGGCGAAGGCUGUCGACUAGAACGCGCUCGACGGUGAGGGACGAAAGCUGGGGGAGCGAACCGGAUUAGAUACCCGGGUAGUCCCAGCUGUAAACGAUGCGGGCUAGGUGUUGGGGUGGCUACGUGCCACUUCAGUGCCGCAGGGAAGCCAUUAAGCCUGCCGCCUGGGAAGUACGGUCGCAAGGCUGAAACUUAAAGGAAUUGGCGGGGGAGCA
Molecule: ribosomal RNA, 547 nt
Filed under: uncultured archaeon
Lineage: Archaea
Description: bacterial SSU rRNA
Rfam family: Archaeal small subunit ribosomal RNA
Source: RNAcentral